GAGUUUGAUCAUGGCUCAGAUUGAACGCUGGCGGAAUGCUUUACACAUGCAAGUCGAACGGCAGCAUAGAGAGCUUGCUCUCUGAUGGCGAGUGGCGAACGGGUGAGUAAUAUAUCGGAACGUACCUAGUAAUGGGGAACAACCAGCCGAAAGGUUGGCUAAUACCGCAUACGACCUACGGGUGAAGGCAGGGGAUCUUCGGACCUUGCGUUAUUAGAGCGGCCGAUAUCUGAUUAGGUAGUUGGUGGGGUAAAGGCCUACCAAGCCGACGAUCAGUAGCUGGUCUGAGAGGACGAUCAGCCACACUGGAACUGAGACACGGUCCAGACUCCUACGGGAGGCAGCAGUGGGGAAUUUUGGACAAUGGGGGAAACCCUGAUCCAGCCAUUCCGCGUGAGUGAAGAAGGCCUUCGGGUUGUAAAGCUCUUUCGCAAGAGAAGAAAUCUUACUAUCGAAUAAAUAGUAAGGAUGACGGUAUCUUGACAAGAAGCACCGGCUAACUACGUGCCAGCAGCCGCGGUAAUACGUAGGGUGCGAGCGUUAAUCGGAAUUACUGGGCGUAAAGCGUGCGCAGGCGGUUUUAUAAGUCAGAUGUGAAAUCCCCGAGCUCAACUUGGGAACUGCGUUUGAAACUGUAAGACUAGAGUGUGUCAGAGGGGGGUAGAAUUCCACGUGUAGCAGUGAAAUGCGUAGAGAUGUGGAGGAAUACCAAUGGCGAAAGCAGCCCCCUGGGAUAACACUGACGCUCAUGCACGAAAGCGUGGGGAGCAAACAGAUUAGAUACCCUGGUAGUCCACGCCCUAAACGAUGUCUACUAGUUGUUGGUGGAGUAAAAUCCAUGAGUAACGCAGCUAACGCGUGAAGUAGACCGCCUGGGGAGUACGGUCGCAGAUUAAACUCAAAGGAAUUGACGGGGGCCCGCACAGCGGUGAUUAUGUGGAAUUAAUUCGAUGCCACGCGAAAAACCUUACCUGCCUUGACAUGUUACGAAUUAGCAGAGAUGCUUUAGUGCCCGUAGAGACGUAACUCAGUGCUGCAUGGCCUGUCGUCAGCUCAUGUCCUGGAAUGUGGGUAGUCCGCAACGAGGCAACUUGCAUAAUGCUACAUAGUGGUACCUAAUGGAACUGCGGUGACUACCGAAGAUACGUGGCGGAAUAGAUCGUCUAGAUUC
RNAcentral lists this ribosomal RNA (1171 nucleotides) under uncultured marine bacterium. RNAcentral's name for it is "bacterial SSU rRNA". It matches the Rfam family "Bacterial small subunit ribosomal RNA", at positions 9 to 1192 of the family's 1533-position model. The record is from RNAcentral.